Molecule: ribosomal RNA, 499 nt
Filed under: uncultured bacterium
Lineage: Bacteria
Description: partial 16S ribosomal RNA
Rfam family: Bacterial small subunit ribosomal RNA
Source: RNAcentral
GACGAACGCUGGCGGCGUGCCUAAUACAUGCAAGUCGAGCGGACUUUCAAGAAGCUUGCUUUUUGAAAGUUAGCGGCGGACGGGUGAGUAACACGUGGGCAACCUGCCUGCAAGACGGGGAUAACUCCGGGAAACCGGCGCUAAUACCGGAUAAUAUCUUCCUUCGCAUGAAGGAAGGUUGAAAGGCGGCGCAAGCUGCCGCUUGCAGAUGGGCUCGCGGCGCAUUAGCUAGUUGGUGAGGUAACGGCUCACCAAGGCGACGAUGCGUAGCCGACCGGAGGGGGUGAUCGGCCACACUGGGACUGAGACACGGCACAUACUGCUACGGGAGGCAGCAGUAGGGAAUCUUCCGCAAUGGACGAAAGUCUGACGGAGCAACGCCGCGUGAGCGAAGAAGGGCUUCGGAUCGGAAAGCUCUGUUGUCAGGGAAGAACAAGUACCGUUCGAAGAGGGCGGUACCUUGACGGUACCUGACCAGAAAGCCACGGCUAACUACGUG